This 400-nucleotide ribosomal RNA is filed under the name uncultured Gammaproteobacteria bacterium. RNAcentral describes it as "bacterial SSU rRNA". It matches the Rfam family "Bacterial small subunit ribosomal RNA", at positions 9 to 412 of the family's 1533-position model. The record is from RNAcentral. Lineage: Bacteria; Pseudomonadati; Pseudomonadota; Gammaproteobacteria.
GAGUUUGAUCGUGGCUCAGAGUGAACGCUGGCGGCAGGCCUAACACAUGCAAGUCGAGCGGCAGCGCGGGGCAACCUGGCGGCGAGCGGCGGACGGGUGAGGAACACAUCGGAAUCUACCCAGUCGUGGGGGAUAACGUAGGGAAACUUACGCUAAUACCGCAUACGACCUGAGGGUGAAAGCAGGGGACCGCAAGGCCUUGCGCGAUUGGAUGAGCCGAUGUCCGAUUAGCUGGUUGGUGAGGUAAAGGCUCACCAAGGCGACGAUCGGUAGCUGGUCUGAGAGGAUGAUCAGCCACACUGGAACUGAGACACGGUCCAGACUCCUACGGGAGGCAGCAGUGGGGAAUAUUGGGACAAUGGGCGCAAGCCUGAUCCAGCCAUGCCGCGUGUGUGAAGAA